GUUCGAUUCGAGCGUAGCGAGAAAGCGUUGCCGCAGGCAACGACCCGAAGGGUGAGGAGCAAAGCGACGAAUUAUCCUUCCCCCACCACCA
RNAcentral lists this small RNA (91 nucleotides) under Leclercia adecarboxylata. RNAcentral describes it as "partial RtT sRNA". It matches the Rfam family "RtT RNA", at positions 41 to 130 of the family's 130-position model. Rfam says of the family: This family represents a bacterial cis-regulatory element known as RtT RNA. The exact function of RtT is unknown although it is thought that it may be involved in changing the cellular response in relation to amino acid starvation. The record is from RNAcentral. Lineage: Bacteria; Pseudomonadati; Pseudomonadota; Gammaproteobacteria; Enterobacterales; Enterobacteriaceae.